AGCAGUGUGGCUUAGUGGAAAGAGCAUAGGUUGGGGAAUCAGAAGGACCUGGGUUCUAAUCCUGGCUCUGCCA
Molecule: transfer RNA, 73 nt
Filed under: Ornithorhynchus anatinus (platypus)
Lineage: Eukaryota; Metazoa; Chordata; Mammalia; Monotremata; Ornithorhynchidae
Rfam family: tRNA
About the family: Transfer RNA (tRNA) molecules are approximately 80 nucleotides in length.
Source: Rfam by way of RNAcentral